AUGAUAUUACUGCAAGUCGAGCGGAUCUUCUUGAGUUGCCUGCUACUCAAGAAGGUUAGCGGCGGACGGGUGAGUAACACGUAGGCAACCUGCCCAUAAGACCGGGAUAACAUUCGGAAACGAAUGCUAAGACCGGAUACGCAGGACUGGGGCAUCCCGGUUCUGGGAAACACGGUGCAAGCUGUGGCUUAUGGAUGGGCCUGCGGCGCAUUAGCUAGUUGGUGGGGUAACGGCCUACCAAGGCGACGAUGCGUAGCCGACCUGAGAGGGUGAACGGCCACACUGGGACUGAGACACGGCCCAGACUCCUACGGGAGGCAGCAGUAGGGAAUCUUCCACAAUGGGCGCAAGCCUGAUGGAGCAACGCCGCGUGAGUGAGGAAGGCUUUCGGGUCGUAAAGCUCUGUUGCCAGGGAAGAAUAAGGGCCAGUUAACUGCUGGUCCGAUGACGGUACCUGAGAAGAAAGCCCCGGCUAACUACGUGCCAGCAGCCGCGGUAAUACGUAAGGGGCAAGCGUUGUCCGGAAUUAUUGGGCGUAAAGCGCGCGCAGGCGGUCUUUUAAGUCUGGUGUUUAAGUGCGGAGCUCAACCCCGUGACGCACUGGAAACUGGGAGACUUGAGUGCAAAAGAGGAGAGCGGAAUUCCACGUGUAACGGUGAAAUGCGUAGAGAUGUGGAAGAACACCAGUGGCCAAAGCGGCUCUCUGGACCGUAACUGACGCUGAAGCGCGAAAACGUGCCGGAGCAACAGGAUUAGAUACCCUGGUAGUCCACGCCGUAAACGAUGAGUGCUAAGUGUUGGGGGGGGCCCCCCCCUCGGUGCCGAAUUUAACACUUUAAGCCCCCCCCCUGGGGAAAACGGGCCCCCAGACUGAACUUCAAAGGAAUUGACGGGGACCCCCACAAACAGUGGAAUAAGUUGUUUUAAUUCCAAACAACCC
Molecule: ribosomal RNA, 940 nt
Filed under: Firmicutes bacterium enrichment culture clone CTBE CDB1010F06
Lineage: Bacteria; Bacillati; Bacillota
Description: bacterial SSU rRNA
Rfam family: Bacterial small subunit ribosomal RNA
Source: RNAcentral